GGCUUAACACAUGCAAGUCGAACGGGAUCUUCGGAUCUAGUGGCGCACGGGUGAGUAACGCGUAGGAAUCUACCCAUUAAUCUGGAACAACAGCGGGAAACUGCUGCUAAUGCCGGAUACGCUCUUAGGAGGAAAGAUUUAUCGUUAAUGGAGGAGCGUGCGUUGGAUUAGGUAGUUGGGCGGGUAAUGGCCUACCAAGCGGACGAUCCACACCCGGUCUGAGAGGAUGAUCCCCCACACUGGGAGGGAGACACGGCCCAGACUCCUACGGGAGGCAGCAGUGGGGAAUAUUGGGCAAUGGGCGCAAGCCUGACCCAGCCAUGCCGCGUGAGUGAUGAAGGCCUUAGGGUGUAAAGCUC
RNAcentral lists this ribosomal RNA (359 nucleotides) under uncultured organism. RNAcentral describes it as "bacterial SSU rRNA". It matches the Rfam family "Bacterial small subunit ribosomal RNA", at positions 45 to 433 of the family's 1533-position model. The record is from RNAcentral.